CGAAAGCCUGACGGAGCAAGACCGCGUGGGGGAAGAAGGCUCUUGGGUUGUAAACCCCUUUUCUCUGGGAAGAAAGUUGUGAAAGCAGCCUGACGGUACCAGAGGAAUCAGCAUCGGCUAACUCCGUGCCAGCAGCCGCGGUAAGACGGAGGAUGCAAGCGUUAUCCGGAAUGAUUGGGCGUAAAGCGUCCGCAGGUGGCAGUUCAAGUCUGCUGUCAAAGACCGGGGCUUAACUUCGGAAAGACAGUGGAAACUGAACAGCUAGAGUAUGGUAGGGGCAGAGGGAAUUCCUGGUGUAGCGGUGAAAUGCGUAGAGAUCAGGAAGAACAUCGGUGGCGAAGGCGCUCUGCUGGACCAUAACUGACACUCAGGGACGAAAGCUAGGGGAGCG
Molecule: ribosomal RNA, 391 nt
Filed under: uncultured Oscillatoria sp.
Lineage: Bacteria; Bacillati; Cyanobacteriota; Cyanophyceae; Oscillatoriales; Oscillatoriaceae
Description: bacterial SSU rRNA
Rfam family: Bacterial small subunit ribosomal RNA
Source: RNAcentral